Molecule: long non-coding RNA, 3090 nt
Filed under: Triticum aestivum (bread wheat)
Lineage: Eukaryota; Viridiplantae; Streptophyta; Magnoliopsida; Poales; Poaceae
Description: long non-coding RNA (TAES_LNC016452)
Source: RNAcentral
GGAGCCCCCACGCCGAGCCCGACCCGCCAAUCACCGUCGCUGGACCCCGCCGCUGCCGCCACCGGACUGCCUCGCCCCAUCGCCUCAUCUUCAUCUCCUCCCCGACGUCUUCAUCGCGCCUUGCCGGCCCCCUGUUCAUCUACAACGGGGGUGAGAACCUUGCCUCCCCCUUCCCGCUCCUCUGCCUUGGCUUGUGCGCCGCGCAUCGCGGUUGCCUACUCACCGCCCGCGGCCUCCCGAACGAGCGCAUGGCCGCGUCCCGCCUGGCACGCCCGACGCCCGAUCACCACGCCCCACAAAUGCGCCCGGCCACCCUCGCCUCGCCCUGGCGCCCUCCCUGCGCGCCCGCGACGCCGCGCGCGUUGACACGCGACCCCGUCUGUCGUGGCCUCGCCCUGCUGAUACUUCUGCUACCGCUGCCGUGUCGGCGCCUUCCCGCUCGCCGGCCCACGCCCCCUGUCGACCCUGGCUGCCGGUGCCCUGGUGCCCGCUCGCCCAGCUCGCCUCGCCGUGCGGGCGUACACCCGCGCCCGAUACCCACUGCACCCGUUAACCGCGUGGCCCCUGUGGGCCACUGGCAACCGGGGCCCACAACCCCCCAGUUUUAAAAUAAAUAAAUAAAUGUUAAGAAAAAUAAUAAUUUAAUUAAUUAGUUAAAUGGUUAAUUAACUUAAUUAAUUAAUUUAAUGAACUAGAUUAGUUAGUUAAAUCAGUAAUUAGUUAUUAGUCAAUGACAGGGUGGCCCCACACCCCUAUUGACUAGUCAAACGUUGACUGGUCAACUAGGACCCCCUGGACCCACAUGUCACCCUCUCGUACACUUAUGUGUACACAGAUCUGGGUGCACGUACCAUUUACUCAUUUUUUUUGAUUUAAAUUAAAUUGCAGAAUAUCAUUAAAUCUUUGGAAAAUCAAAAAAAAUAAUCUGUAACUCGGAUGAAAAAGUUUUAUACAUGAAAGUUGCUCAGAACGACGAGACAAAUCUGAACCCGCGGUCCGUUCGCCCACCACACGUCCCUAGGAUAGCAAACGUUGAACUUUUCCCCUCCGGUUCAUCUGUCUGGCAGACGUCCGGAACCGGGAAAACUUUCCCGGAUGUUUCCUCCUUCGCCAGUAUCGCCUAGCGCUGCGUUAGAACACUUCCAGCCUUGCUUAUUGUCUUGUUGUGCUUAUGUUUGCGUGUAUUUUCUGUUUCUUCCCCCUCUUCUCUCUGGUAGACCCCGAGACUGCUGCUGAUGCCAUUGUGAUUUACUACGUCGACGACGACCCUCCUUCUUGUCUGAGCAACCAGGCAAGCCCCCCCUUUGAUCAUCCCGAUAUCGCCCAUUAUAUACUCUCAUGCUUGCAUUAGAUUUUGCUACUGUUAUUGUUUGUUCCUAUUGUGAUGCAUAGCCUGCUUUUGUACUUGCUAUUGUUACCUACCUCCUUAUGCUAAACUGCUUAGUAUAGGUUGGCUAGUGAUCCAUCAGUGACCCCCACCUUGUCCUUGUUGCCCCUGCUUCAUCAUCGACGACUAGAUCAACGUGAUCGACGGCCAGAUCCCGACACCUCACAUCACAUCACGCCCCUUUUGUUGCUCGACUCUGCAGAGCUACUAUCGAUGUCGAGGGUGAUCCCUCAUAACACACUCCUAAUGAUAAUUCUAUAGUGUAGCUAUUCGGUCGUGGUCGUCGAGGGUAAUUUCCUCUUUCAUCAUUCCCGAUACGGCUCUGUCGUUCAACACCUCAAGUGUGAACCUCGAGGGUGGUCCCUCUUACGUUCACCUUGAUGAUUACAUUGAGUGGAAUCCACGGGGGUGAUUCCUCGGGUUUUCCCGUUGAUGUCUGGACACACAGUUACCUUAACUUUAUGUGUGACCUUUGGGAAAGUCAGGCGGGCCUGGAGAGCACCCGCAAGAUAAUGACGUGGCACGGCCGGGCAUUCUAAGCCCUUGUCGUAAGUCCACGAGACGGGGCAACAGGGUCACUUUUGAUCGUGAGUCUCUGCUCGUCUCCGCAAGCUAAUAAUACACUAUGGUUUGGGUAUUUGUUCUAAGUUGGCCUUUGGCCUUUACGCACCAACCACCAUGUGAGAAUAGUUAUGGGCCUCGACAUCGCAGUAUCAGCCGAAGCUUUGUCAGACGUUUAGUUCAGCAUUGCGGCACGGCUAGGCUGGCACCCCAGAGGUGGUGCCUAGGUCCGCCCUGCACGUAACAACCCGGAGUGCUACGCGCGAUGGGCCCAGACCCCGGAGUGCUUAGGAUGUAGACCGGCGGGGACCUCUCUGCUGAGCCUAGGUAGGGUUGCGACGUGUUGAUCUUCCGAGGCCGGGCAUUAACCCAGAAAAGUGUGUCCAGCCAGAGUGAUUGAGCAUGUUGGAAAUCGUGGUGCACCCCUGCAGGGAAGAUUAUCUAUUAAUAAUCGUGUCCACGGUAAAGGACGUUCAGACUUAUAUCCUGAUCUUAUAAAACUACAAAUGGAUACUUGAGAUGUGUGGCUCCGGGAUUGCUUUCUCGCAGGGAGUCGAGGAAGGAUCUCUGGGCAUUAAUGUUACAACAUGCUUGUUAAUUAUAAACUGCUAUUCUUUACUCUUCUAUAUGCUGCAAGAUGCUUGGAGCUGCUUGAAGGUGCUAGUCUUUGUUAGGCUAGGCCUUCCCUCUAUUCUGGCAUUCUGCAGUUCAGUCCAUAGAUACAAACUUCCAUUUGAUACCAGUGCAUACUUAGUAUAGAUCUGAUGCUUGUGAGUACUUUGGAUGAGUACUCACGGUUGCCUCGCAACCCUUUUUUCCUCCUUCUUUCUUCUUUCCGGUUGACGCAACCAGAUGGUGGAUCCCUGGAGCCAAAUGCUAUCGCCGACGGAUGCUACUAUGUGAAGAUCACCGACGGUUAGGAGUAGUUAGGAGGUCCCAGACAGGAGGCCUUGCCUCUUCGACCGUUAUUGCUUUUGUGCUAGCCUUCUUAAGGCAUUCUUGUUUAACCUUAUGUCUGUACUCAGAUAUUGUUGCUUCCGCUGACUCUUGUGUAUCGAGCUUGUAUUCGAGCCCUCGAGGCCCCUGGCUUGUAAUAUAAAGCUUGUAUUAUUUUGAUUUGUGUCUAGAGUUGUGUUGUGAUA